This 74-nucleotide transfer RNA is filed under the name Waddliaceae bacterium. RNAcentral describes it as "tRNA-Thr". It matches the Rfam family "tRNA". Rfam says of the family: Transfer RNA (tRNA) molecules are approximately 80 nucleotides in length. Their secondary structure includes four short double-helical elements and three loops (D, anti-codon, and T loops). Lineage: Bacteria; Pseudomonadati; Chlamydiota; Chlamydiia; Parachlamydiales; Waddliaceae. The record is from RNAcentral.
GCCUGGAUAGCUCAAUUUGGUAGAGCAGCGCAUUCGUAAUGCGAAGGUUGGAGGUUCAAGUCCUCUUUCGGGCA